GCUUCGGUAGCUCAGUGGUAGAGCAACAGCCUUGUAAGCUGUAGGUCGGGGGUUCGACUCCCUCUCGAAGCU
RNAcentral lists this transfer RNA (72 nucleotides) under Nanobdellota archaeon. Its description in RNAcentral is "tRNA-Thr". It matches the Rfam family "tRNA". Rfam says of the family: Transfer RNA (tRNA) molecules are approximately 80 nucleotides in length. Their secondary structure includes four short double-helical elements and three loops (D, anti-codon, and T loops). Further hydrogen bonds mediate the characteristic L-shaped molecular structure. tRNAs have two regions of fundamental functional importance: the anti-codon, which is responsible for specific mRNA codon recognition, and the 3' end, to which the tRNAs corresponding amino acid is attached (by aminoacyl-tRNA synthetases). tRNAs cope with the degeneracy of the genetic code in two manners: having more than one tRNA (with a specific anti-codon) for a particular amino acid; and 'wobble' base-pairing, i.e. permitting non-standard base-pairing at the 3rd anti-codon position. Lineage: Archaea; Nanobdellati; Nanobdellota. The record is from RNAcentral.